Non-coding RNA from Acanthosepion pharaonis, 112 nucleotides. NCBI's taxonomy places the organism in Eukaryota, Metazoa, Mollusca, Cephalopoda, Sepiida, Sepiidae. The record is from the annotation of a GenBank genome assembly.
AUGGCCACAUCAUGUUGAAACACCGGUCCCCGUACGAUCACUUAAGUUAAGCAACGUCGAACCUGGUCAGUACUUAGACUGGUAACCGCUUGAGAAGAAUAGGUUCUGUAUG